UACCUUCUAGUGAACUUUCUAUGGCGUUUUGUCCGCCUUUUCUAAGGUGGUUUGUCUGUGGGUUUUCACUAGAAGUUAUAGAAAACAAAUGGAAAAACAUGUCGAAUGAGUAGUUGCGAUUAAGCAUGACAUACACAGUUUUCCAAGUCAUACUCAUGUUGAUAUUGAACAUGUUCAAAUUUUAUCUACUAAACAUACAGGUAAUGAAAUUAAUGAAACUUUGAGGCUAACUUAUAUUUUCUCUUCGUGCUUUUCUAUUUUUUUCUUUGUUUUCAAAAUUCUUCCUAAUUGUUGAUAUGAGGAGAGCCACCAGGGACGCUGCCAGCUUAGUUGUUGCUAAGAAAAGGACUAGAAAAGAAAGAGCCUUAGUCAGAGGAAAAUAAAUCUAGGUUUGUCUUAACACACAGUUUGGUCUUCUGGCAUACAUAUCACUCAAUGCUUUUAUCAGUACUAACGAUCUGUCGAAAUCUAGAUUGAAAGCGAACCUUAGGACAGUCCUUUCAAACAAUUUAAGUAUGUAAAAAUCAAAGACUUUGAAAAGGAAAGUUUUUUCGAAGCUUCCCCUUCUGAGACACCUAAAAAUAAGAAGAAGAAACCAAAGUUCCUUGUAUGUGGACCUCCCAAAGUCAACUUAGUCCCAACUAUUUCCCCUGUGCCUGAAGCAGAGGAUUAGAAAAAGGCAUCCCUACCUGUUGACAAGCUAGUUAAGCAGGCACCAGAAGUUGCCUCUACAAAACUAGAAAGUGACAAUUCAAGUCCUGAUGUUGAGGCGCCUAAGGAACUUCCUUCUGGAAACACGAUUUCCAGUAUUAAGUACACACCACCUAUGUCUACCAUUUCUCCAUCUGUCUAAUUUGGGAAUAUAAACUCCCAUCAGUUCAAAUUGUGAAGAUCCAAGAAGCCGUCGGAGACGUCACCGUCGACCAACCAAUAAUAACACCCAAGAAAAUUCUCCUUGAACCAGAUAAACCAGCGGGUCGAAAGCUCAUCUUCUGAGGAAACAUCCUCGGUGUCUGAAAGGGAAAAGACUUCUCACCCCAAGAUGGACCUUGACCUCGAGGAUGAAAAUCCUGAUGACAAAAAGAAAAAUGAUAUCUCUCCUUCUGGAAGUCCAGAUCAUGAGGACACUCUUCAUAAGGACCCAAAGGUCACUUAAUCUCAUAAAGUUAAAGGUUUAAACAAUGAACUGGGGACUGGUGGAAAAAACUUCAAACCUAUAUUACAUGCCCCCAUAACCAUUGGAACCUCUUCUCUCAAUCCAGAGGAACUUGCAUGAAAUUAAAAGAACAAAUCCUUCAGGUUACAUGAGGAUGAUGGUGAGUCUUCUAAGCAGUUUGACUGAAAAAUGUUCCAACUCUUCAACUAUUCCAGGUAGGGAACCUUUUGUCGAAUCUAUUGAUGAAGUGCUUCGCUAACUAAAGUUGAAGAUCCUAUGUCCACACUUGUUUCAAACAGUUCAUGAUAACUCAAUGUUAUCCUAUCCAAUCAAAUCCAUGUUAAAGAAACUCAACACACCUAAUGCCCUUAAUUCUAUUAUUUCCUUGAUUCUUGAAUUCGGCAUAUUGUUGGAUCAGAUCACUGCUAAUAUCCAAAGGAAGAAUGGGGCACUUCUUAGGUUAAAUCCAAAAGAAGAAACUCAAUCACUGGAAUGGGCUUUGGUGAACGAGUCCAAUAGUUGUGUUGAGGAAAUUGAGAUGUCAUUCAAGCAAGAUGAUACGGAGACUGCUUCUUGUGACGCUAAUAUCCUUAAGUGGGAGAAAGAGAUAUAAGAACUGCAAUCAAAGGUAACAAAAGGAUAAAGAGAGGAAGGUUGAACUCAAGAAUGUCAGUCGAGCCAAUCUGAGCAAAUAGGCUCUAAUUGGCCUUCAACACUUUGACAAUGCUAGUGCCUGGAAGCAGAAAUUGAAGGAAUAACUGCUAGCAUUUCACUAACUGACCUUCAACUUGAGGCAACAAAGGCUCAUUUUGAGAGGAUUAAGGUUACUCUUCCAUUUUAUAAUGUUUUUCCUUUCUUGUUAUGAACUUUCUAUUUCAACUGUUGCAAUUUAUUUUUUAAACUUAAGUAUGCAUUUUAUGGCAUUUUGACAAUUUAGAAUAACAACCUCAGUUUUUAA
Lathyrus oleraceus (garden pea) is the source of this 2114-nucleotide long non-coding RNA. RefSeq lists it as uncharacterized. NCBI's taxonomy places the organism in Eukaryota, Viridiplantae, Streptophyta, Magnoliopsida, Fabales, Fabaceae. The transcript has 2 exons. The record is from RefSeq and is a predicted model, not a curated record.